AUGGAACCCUGGACCCACUGUGCUCCCGGAGCCUUACCUUUUUUCUUUCUUUCUUUCUCUCUUUCUUUUUAAAUUUAUGAACUCGAAAUGAAGCGGAAAGCAGAUACACGCGUCAGCAUACUUUGGCGGAUUUGAUCAACACAUCUUUUUGGGCUUCACCAAAUCGCUGAAAAACCUGCUACCAUGUCACAGGAGAGACAUAUGAUAUUCCUCCAGAGACGGCUCUCCUUUGGAAAGCACUCUUUGGGAAUGUAGUUCCUAAAUCAGCUGUCAUAUUGAACACCCGGUCAAGACAUAUUUUAUUCUCAGAGCAUUAUUUUGAAACUUCAGUCAUCCAGCAAGUGCUGCAAAUGUGCCACUGGUCCUUGAAGGACAUACCAGGAGGAGCAAUGAGAGGAGACAAGGUGCCCAGGGCCAUGAACACAUCACUUGGUCGGCACCAACAGAGUUCCAGCCACAGAUAAAGAAUCUUCAUUGCCAACUUUGACCUGAGAGCAAUGAACGGGUCAACUAAGCAGCAUGUGUUCAUUACUAACAUGGCACCAUCUUGGAAGCCAAAAGCUAAAAAAAAAAAAAUGGCACGAAUGUUGUUGCAAUUCCAAAUCCUACUUAGGUUCUAUCAACUACCUGGACUGUUUAAUUCCACUCAGAAACCUUUAUUGAACUCCUGCUAUAUAUUUAGGAGGGUCCUGAGCACUUGAGAAUAUAUGAAUAUGUGGGUAUAUGGGAAAGGAAAGGCAUUAGGAACAUGGGAGGGGGCGACCAGAACCCUGGCUGCCUGGCUGUGUAGAUGCAUGAGUGAGAAGUUCAGGCUCCCUCCCAAGCAGACACAUCUGCUUUAAAGGCUAGUGCUGCUGUUUACUGGCGGCGUUUCCUCCGUCAAGUUAAUGAACUUCUCUGAGCCUCAUUCUAGCCAUUAUAGCUAUCUUAAACAAUAUUCACAUUCUGGUUAAAUGUCGACAAUAAGUAGAAGCCUAACUAACAAGACUGAGAACAAAAUGAGAAGCAUGAAAACAGUCUGACUUAGGAGAGUGCCUAACACAUAGUAAGUGGUCAAGACAGCAACCUAGGAAAGCCCAGCAACUAAAUUUAACGUGGACAAAAAAUCGGGCAUUCGCAGGGCGAGUGACAAAAUCUGAAGAGUGACUGUACAGUCAUUAAAAUUGCUGUAGCGAUGCUUAUUUCCUGAUUUUGAUAACUGCACUGUGGUUAUGUAUUAUUUCAGGAGGCUGCGUGGAGCAUACAUGAGAAUGCUUUAUAUAAUGUUUGCAACCCUUUUGUAAAUGUGUACCUAUUUCAAAAUGGAGUUAAAGAGAUGCAAACAUCAACUCCUCUAAUGCAAGUGUCUAUUCCAGCCCAUAAAAGCUUAACUCCUGAAUGGGGAGACAGCAGGUGUGAACAUGAGACCUUCCCAGAACAACUAGAAGAGAAGGUUCUGUGGUGCCAGUGCUCGCAUGGGUCAGAAAGACUGGAGCGAGUAGGAGCUGAGGGAGAUACAGAUCUUCUAGAGCUCCCUUGCUCAAUGCCUCGAUUCCUCUCAAGUUCAUGGUCAGCCUUCCCUUGGACAGAAUGAUUGCCCAAGACCCUUUUGACUUGAUGGAGACAACAGUGCAAUUCCCCAGACUAUUCUUGGGGAGGGUGAGGCAUGACACUCCCAGUACAAGAGGCUGAGAGAAAUGCUCCAGAGUGGGCUGCAGAGCAGCAAAGAUGGUGAUGGGUCAGGGCAGAGGAGGGAGACACAGCCACUCACAGGGGUCAGAGGAGCUAGGAACACAAACAUGGAGCUCUGAGACCUGCAGAAGGGACACCACAGCCGGGAGUCCAAGGAGAGCACAUGCACCUACUCCUUGGGGAGGCUGUCAUACCUCCAGCAUACCAGCUGCCAUGACACCUUCUGGUAAGGACGGACGGUCACAGGGCUCACACACGGUGGCCAGGCUCGGCAUUCCCUUGGCUUUUCUUGCCACUGAGGGCACUGGGCAGAGCAGCCCUGCCACAGUGUGAUGUGGAAGGUCAGUGGAUUCUCUGUGGCCAUCUCCACUUUGGUCAGAGAGUGCUGGGGAGUGAAGAGGGUGGAGUCCAGCCUUCUCUGGAGAGGUCCCUUGUGGACUGUUUUUCAUGACCUCCUCCUGCGUCACCCGAACUCUCACCUCAUGGUCCAGGAAGGUUCCUGCUUUGCACCUUCAACUCCCGUCUCCCUCCAUCACAUUCCAGUGGUACCAAGGAGUUACCACUGGAAUUUUCUUUGGAACUGAAAAUUUCUGUGGACAAAAGUCCAGCAGCUUCUGUUCAGAACAUGUAUAAAUAGUUUUUCCUUCUUCAUUCCCCUCAUGGAUAUUUUGUGCUUGGAUCACGCAGGGUCGGUGGGGGAGAAUCGAGUUUUACUAGGACUUACGAUGAGUGAAUAUUGGCAGCUGCAAAACUUCAUCACAUUAAAAAAAAAAAA
This is a long non-coding RNA of Macaca mulatta (Rhesus monkey), 2446 nucleotides long. NCBI's taxonomy places the organism in Eukaryota, Metazoa, Chordata, Mammalia, Primates, Cercopithecidae. The record is from Ensembl.